CCUACGGGAGGCAGCAGUAGGGAAUCUUCCGCAAUGGGCGCAAGCCUGACCCAGCAACGCCGCGUGAAGGAAGAAGGCUUUCGGGUUGUAAACUUCUUUUAUGAGGGAAGAGCAGAAGACGGUACCUCUUGAAUAAGCCACGGCUCACUACGUGCCAGCACCCGCGGUAAUACGUAGGUGGCAAGCGUUGUCCGGCUUUGCUGGGUGUAAAGGGCGGGCAGCCGGGAAGACAAGUCAGAUGUGAAAUCCCGCGGCUCACACGUGGAACUGCAUUUGGCACUGUUUUUCUUGAGUACCGGAGAGGUCAUCGGAAUUCCAUGUGUAGCGGUGAAAUGCGUAGAUAUAAGGAAGAACACCAGUGGCGAAGGCGAAUGACUGGACUGCAACUGACGGUGAGGCGCGAAAGCGUGGGGAGCAAACAGGAUUAGAUACCCGAGUAGUC
This 442-nucleotide ribosomal RNA is filed under the name uncultured bacterium. RNAcentral's name for it is "partial 16S ribosomal RNA". It matches the Rfam family "Bacterial small subunit ribosomal RNA", at positions 338 to 795 of the family's 1533-position model. The record is from RNAcentral.